RNAcentral lists this long non-coding RNA (204 nucleotides) under Anas platyrhynchos platyrhynchos (common mallard). RNAcentral describes it as "lncRNA (ENSAPLG00000024982.1)". Lineage: Eukaryota; Metazoa; Chordata; Aves; Anseriformes; Anatidae. The record is from RNAcentral.
AGCUUUUUCAGAGCUGAGAAAUGGUAAGAGAGUGUGAAGAAAAGAAGGAAAAGAACAUAUUUCAUUUUCAGAAGUAACACCUUCCCUUCUGCAUGCUUGACAAUGCUUUCCCAAGACAACACUUUCUCUUGAAAAGUGGCACUUCUGAGACUUUCCUACUGUGUCACAGAUGAUGAAAAAUAUGUUAGAAAAAACGUUGGCUGU